RNAcentral lists this ribosomal RNA (875 nucleotides) under uncultured organism. Its description in RNAcentral is "SSU rRNA". It matches the Rfam family "Bacterial small subunit ribosomal RNA", at positions 28 to 885 of the family's 1533-position model. The record is from RNAcentral.
GACGAACGCUGGCGGCGUGCCUAAUACAUGCAAGUAGAACGCUGAAGAGAGGAGCUUGCUCUUCUUGGAUGAGUUGCGAACGGGUGAGUAACGCGUAGGUAACCUGCCUUGUAGCGGGGGAUAACUAUUGGAAACGAUAGCUAAUACCGCAUAACAAUGGAUGACACAUGUCAUUUAUUUGAAAGGGGCAAUUGCUCCACUACAAGAUGGACCUGCGUUGUAUUAGCUAGUAGGUGAGGUAAUGGCUCACCUAGGCGACGAUACAUAGCCGACCUGAGAGGGUGAUCGGCCACACUGGGACUGAGACACGGCCCAGACUCCUACGGGAGGCAGCAGUAGGGAAUCUUCGGCAAUGGGGGCAACCCUGACCGAGCAACGCCGCGUGAGUGAAGAAGGUUUUCGGAUCGUAAAGCUCUGUUGUAAGUCAAGAACGGGUGUGAGAGUGGAAAGUUCACACUGUGACGGUAGCUUACCAGAAAGGGACGGCUAACUACGUGCCAGCAGCCGCGGUAAUACGUAGGUCCCGAGCGUUGUCCGGAUUUAUUGGGCGUAAAGCGAGCGCAGGCGGUUUGAUAAGUCUGAAGUUAAAGGCUGUGGCUCAACCAUAGUUCGCUUUGGAAACUGUCAAACUUGAGUGCAGAAGGGGAGAGUGGAAUUCCAUGUGUAGCGGUGAAAUGCGUAGAUAUAUGGAGGAACACCGGUGGCGAAAGCGGCUCUCUGGUCUGUAACUGACGCUGAGGCUCGAAAGCGUGGGGAGCGAACAGGAUUAGAUACCCUGGUAGUCCACGCCGUAAACGAUGAGUGCUAGGUGUUGGAUCCUUUCCGGGAUUCAGUGCCGCAGCUAACGCAUUAAGCACUCCGCCUGGGGAGUACGA